RNAcentral lists this transfer RNA (78 nucleotides) under Bifidobacterium adolescentis ATCC 15703. RNAcentral's name for it is "tRNA-Pro". It matches the Rfam family "tRNA". Rfam says of the family: Transfer RNA (tRNA) molecules are approximately 80 nucleotides in length. Their secondary structure includes four short double-helical elements and three loops (D, anti-codon, and T loops). The record is from RNAcentral. Lineage: Bacteria; Bacillati; Actinomycetota; Actinomycetes; Bifidobacteriales; Bifidobacteriaceae.
UCGGACCAUAGCGCAGUUUGGUAGCGCACUUGACUGGGGGUCAAGGGGUCGCGGGUUCAAAUCCCGCUGGUCCGACCA